AGACGGGUGAGUAACGCGUGAGACAUCUACCUUACAGCCCGGUAUAAAUAUCUAUAUAGAGGCGAAAAUCUUUAUAUAUGAGUGAAUCCCGGAUAUUUUGAAUAAAAAAAAAGGCAAAGAACCGUUGCAAGAUGAGCUCGCGUAGGAUUAGGUAGUUGGUAAGGUAAAAGCUUAUCCAAGCCGAUGAUCCUUAGCUGUUCUGAGAGGAUGAUCAGCCACACUGGGACUGAGACACGGCCCAGACGCUUUCGAGCGGCAGCAGUGAGGAAUUUUGGACAAUGGGCGAAAGCCUGAUCCAGCUAUAUCGCAUGAAUGAAGAAGGCUCAAUUGGUUGUAAAAUUCAUAAUUUCAUUGUAGAUUAUGACAUUGAUGAAAUGAAUAGUCCCGGCCAACUCCGUGC
Molecule: ribosomal RNA, 400 nt
Filed under: uncultured Trebouxia photobiont
Lineage: Eukaryota; Viridiplantae; Chlorophyta; Trebouxiophyceae; Trebouxiales; Trebouxiaceae
Description: bacterial SSU rRNA
Rfam family: Bacterial small subunit ribosomal RNA
Source: RNAcentral